RNAcentral lists this ribosomal RNA (161 nucleotides) under Coincya rupestris. Its description in RNAcentral is "5.8S ribosomal RNA". It matches the Rfam family "5.8S ribosomal RNA". From Rfam's summary of the family: 5.8S ribosomal RNA (5.8S rRNA) is a component of the large subunit of the eukaryotic ribosome. It is transcribed by RNA polymerase I as part of the 45S precursor that also contains 18S and 28S rRNA. The record is from RNAcentral. Lineage: Eukaryota; Viridiplantae; Streptophyta; Magnoliopsida; Brassicales; Brassicaceae.
AACGACUCUCGGCAACGGAUAUCUCGGCUCUCGCAUCGAUGAAGAACGUAGCGAAAUGCGAAAGAUGGUGUGAAUAGCAGAAUCCCGUGAACCAUCGAGUCUUUGAACGCAAGUUGCGCCCCAAGCCUUCUGGCCGAGAGCACGUCUGCCUGGGUGUCACG